RNAcentral lists this ribosomal RNA (471 nucleotides) under uncultured bacterium. RNAcentral describes it as "bacterial SSU rRNA". It matches the Rfam family "Bacterial small subunit ribosomal RNA", at positions 28 to 512 of the family's 1533-position model. The record is from RNAcentral.
GACGAACGCUGGCGGCGUGCUUAACACAUGCAAGUCGAACGGUAAGGCUCCAGCUUGCUGGGGUACACGAGUGGCGAACGGGUGAGUAACACGUGGGUGACCUGCCCUGCACUUCGGGAUAAGCCUGGGAAACUGGGUCUAAUACCGGAUAGGACCGCACCGUGAGGGUGUGGUGGAAAGUUUUUUCGGUGUGGGAUGGGCCCGCGGCCUAUCAGCUUGUUGGUGGGGUAAUGGCCUACCAAGGCGGCGACGGGUAGCCGGCCUGAGAGGGUGGACGGCCACAUUGGGACUGAGACACGGCCCAGACUCCUACGGGAGGCAGCAGUGGGGGAAUAUUGCACAAUGGGCGGAAGCCUGAUGCAGCGACGCCGCGUGGGGGAUGACGGCCUUCGGGUUGUAAACUCCUUUCACCAUCGACGAAGGGUUUCUGACGGUAGAUGGAGAAGAAGCACCGGCUAACUACGUGCCAGC